AUUUUUUUAGAUUCCAUAUAUAAGUGAGAUCACAAAGUAUGUGUCUUUCUGUGCCUGGCUUAUUUCACUGAACGUAAUGUUCUCCAGGAAAAUAACUGUUAUCUGGGAAACUGCAUUUAAAGGGAAGCUGUUUGCAAUGCUUCUUUGCACACAAGGAACAGAAUCCACAAAGUUCACAACAAGGAACAGAAACCACAAAUUUCACAACAUGACAACAUUCAAAAUGGGAGUAUGUCUCAAGUGCUCCACCAGCCAGCUGAAUGCAGGGUUUUCACAGGUGUAAAACAUGUGACUAUGCCAAUUUUGAUAGUUUCCUCUGACCAGAAAAAUCAGGCUUUUAUGAAAGAAACCAAAAGUGAAGUAUAACUUCCUUCUGAAUCCCCUUUGAAACCCAAGUCCUACUGAAGAGGAAAGAGAACAAAUCCCUAUUGAAAUGCCCUGAAGAGCUUCCACUGCCUAAAUGUGCAGCAUAACCAUCUCUACCUUCUCUUUAAAAAAAACAUUCUAGAGGCUGGGCACGGUGGCUCACGCCUGUAAUCCCAGCACUUUGGGAGGCUGAGGCGGGCGGAUCAC
Homo sapiens (human) is the source of this 573-nucleotide long non-coding RNA. Lineage: Eukaryota; Metazoa; Chordata; Mammalia; Primates; Hominidae. The record is from Ensembl.